CGAUGAUUAGACUUGUGUUUCUCUUUUGAUUCUCUUCUUUUCUCUUCCCUCCUCCUCCCCCAUCCUUUUCCUUCUUCCUUUGGCGUUGGUGGGGGCGGGAGGGAUGAGGUGUUAGGGAAGUGAGCAAGGCACCCUGAAAACAGCCCCCCGAUUCUACACAGUCAGAGUGGGGCCUGUGAGUGCACGCCGGGCAGAAGGGACAGACGUCCUGGGAAGCAGGCUUGGGGGUUUCAGUUCUGGGAAGGAGGUUGGAUUGAGUGGCCUUGAAGCUUCCUUCCCUUCCUCAGACACUGAGGGUCCUGGGGAGUUGUGUGGCUUUGCUCAUUCCAUGGUGAAGAUGCUCUGAGGGAGAGUUUCGCUCUUGUUGCCCAGGCUGGAGUGCAGUGGCACUAUCUCGGCUCACCGCAACCUCUGCCUCCCGGGUUCAAGCAAUUCUCCUGCCUCAGCCUCCCGAGUAGUUGGAAUUACAGGUAUGCACCACCACACCUGGCUAAUUUUGUAUUUUUAGUAGAGACGGGGUUUCUCCAUAUUGGUCAGGCUGGUCUCGAACUCCCAACCUCAGAUGAUCUGCCCGCGUUGGCCUCCCAAAGUGCUGGGAUUACAGGCAAGAGCCUGGGAAACUUCACCCUUACUCUAUCUCAAACCAUGCCAGCCUGGCAGUGUCCAGUGUGUCGGCUGGUGGCCCCAUCCACACAAUGGCCUCGUCCCCUCCCUUAGGGUCUUCUCUGUCUCCUGUGGGUCCCAUCAGUCAAUGCCUAGUCACCCUAUAAAUCUAACUUUCUAUACUAACCCCAGCCCCCUAGACCUUAGAAGUACGUGGAGCUUUUGCUUUCUUUGUUUUAUAAAACCAGGCCUGCCAUUCAGCUAACUUAGUUAAGCUGGAAGUUUAGGAACCUCACUUUGCCAGAGAUUACCAUGAAGAGCCUAGGUUUUGCUUUUUUCUUUGAGGACAACUUUUUAACUAUGUGAAACUGAAUUUCCAUGUACAUAAUAAACCCAUGUCACAUUACUGGUCAUUGUUAUUUAUUGAUUGUUGCCCAGCAACUCUGAUCUUGUUGCUGUUCUGUUUGGGACCCAGACAAUGCAAGUGGUGGAGGGAUUUUCCUUGUCAGGUCUUUCAGGCUGAAGU
RNAcentral lists this long non-coding RNA (1129 nucleotides) under Homo sapiens (human). RNAcentral describes it as "HSALNT0344405". Lineage: Eukaryota; Metazoa; Chordata; Mammalia; Primates; Hominidae. The record is from RNAcentral.